Molecule: long non-coding RNA, 671 nt
Organism: Labeo rohita (rohu)
Lineage: Eukaryota; Metazoa; Chordata; Actinopteri; Cypriniformes; Cyprinidae
Exons: 2
Source: RefSeq, a predicted model, not a curated record
AAAAAUUCAAAACCGAAAAUGUUUCGGUCAAAAGUGACCGAAGAGAGGUGUGUAUAUAAUGUGUGUGUGUGUGUGUGUGUGUGUGUGUGAAUGGGUGUGUUUAUGAAUGGGUGUGUUUUAGAGUGUCACCCCUUCACUGCUGUGUACUUUUUUUCAGCAUUGUGGAGGAAUUGUAGAUUGUACACACAAAAAUUCUCUGAAUAUUUGUAUUUUUGUCGAUUUCCCAUUCAUUUCCUGUGGUCGGUCAUUUUAGACCAAAGACCACAAGUUGUUUUUUUUUUUUUUUUGGAAUCGUGCCCUCAUUUUUUAUGUGUGUUCACAUUCCAAAUGCCAUAAAAGUCACUGAAUUUGGUACCGUUCUGAUGAAGCUGUGAUUUUUUGAAAAAUUCAAAACCGAAAAUGUUUCGGUCAAAAGUGACCGAAGAGAGGUGUGUAUAUAAUGUUUGUGUGUGUGUGUGUGUGUGUGUGUGUGAAUGGGUGUGUUUAUGAAUGGGUGUGUUUUAGAGUGUCACCCCUUCACUGCUGUGUACUUUUUUUCAGCAUUGUGGAGGAAUUGUAGAUUGUACACACAAAAAUUCUCUGAAUAUUUGUAUUUUUGUCGAUUUCCCAUUCAUUUCCUGUGGUCGGUCAUUUUAGACCAAAGAGCACAAGUUGUUUUUUUUUUUUUUUUU